Molecule: ribosomal RNA, 58 nt
Filed under: Pleurotus nebrodensis
Lineage: Eukaryota; Fungi; Basidiomycota; Agaricomycetes; Agaricales; Pleurotaceae
Description: partial 28S ribosomal RNA
Source: RNAcentral
GUCCGCAAGGACAAUUGAUAAUUGCCUCAAAUCAGUACGUCGCACCUUCCUACAAAAA